UACGUAGGUGGCAAGCGUUGUUCGGAAUUACUGGGCGUAAAGCGCGUGUAGGCGGCUCUUCAAGCCAGACGUGAAAGCCCCGGGCUUAACUCGGGAACUGCGUUUGAUACUGUCGAGCUAGAGUGUGGAAGGGGCGAUUGGAAUUCCGUGUGUAGCGGUGAAAUGCGUAGAUAUACGGAGGAACACCAGGGGCGAAGGCGGAUCGCUGGGCCAACACUGACGCUGAGACGCGAAAGCUAGGGGAGCAAACGGG
This 253-nucleotide ribosomal RNA is filed under the name uncultured bacterium. RNAcentral's name for it is "partial 16S ribosomal RNA". It matches the Rfam family "Bacterial small subunit ribosomal RNA", at positions 524 to 776 of the family's 1533-position model. The record is from RNAcentral.